GGUUGCAUCGGAGCGAUCAAUUUUAAUAUUACGCAUAGAAAUAGAUGUGCAUGGUAAAUUGCAUACCGGUUAUUAUGUUAUUAAAUCAACCUGGAUACCCACAUUCACGUCUGGAUUUGCAGUGGAUUUGUGCAAGGUCCUAAACCUUGAAGCCAAAGAUGAAAAUUGUCCUGUUAUUUGCGGCUUGCAGCGUAAUAGUAAAUGGACGAACUCUUGAAAAUGGUCAAAACAAAAGAGAUCUAAUAAUGAAAGCUUUGCCUGAUAUUCGGAAAAAAGACAUCAGGUUUCCUCAGCAAAUGAUGAAGCUACCGGAUUACCCUUUGUCACAAUAUGACCUCUUUGGAAAUCAAAACGGCCUGAAUGACAAAAGUGAGCCAGAUACAAGCAGUUCUUGAAGUGUUGAUAGACAACCUGGAAAUAUUCAAAGGAAAGUUGUGUUUUAUAGUUAACGAAACAUCUGUUUGCGAUUUAGUUUUAAGGUAUUAGGUAUAAGGUCAUCCUCAAAAAGCAAAUAAAAUUAAAAAGUUCAUGUCAUUCUACAUUUCAGUACAUUUCAGGUAUCUUUCUGAAUUUUCAG
This is a long non-coding RNA of Mercenaria mercenaria, 577 nucleotides long. RefSeq lists it as uncharacterized. The record is from RefSeq and is a predicted model, not a curated record. NCBI's taxonomy places the organism in Eukaryota, Metazoa, Mollusca, Bivalvia, Venerida, Veneridae. The transcript has 3 exons.